Molecule: ribosomal RNA, 413 nt
Filed under: Pseudomonas sp. 9A1
Lineage: Bacteria; Pseudomonadati; Pseudomonadota; Gammaproteobacteria; Pseudomonadales; Pseudomonadaceae
Description: bacterial SSU rRNA
Rfam family: Bacterial small subunit ribosomal RNA
Source: RNAcentral
CAGUGGGGAAUAUUGGACAAUGGGCGAAAGCCUGAUCCAGCCAUGCCGCGUGUGUGAAGAAGGUCUUCGGAUUGUAAAGCACUUUAAGUUGGGAGGAAGGGCAGUUGCCUAAUACGUAACUGUUUUGACGUUACCGACAGAAUAAGCACCGGCUAACUCUGUGCCAGCAGCCGCGGUAAUACAGAGGGUGCAAGCGUUAAUCGGAAUUACUGGGCGUAAAGCGCGCGUAGGUGGUUUGUUAAGUUGGAUGUGAAAUCCCCGGGCUCAACCUGGGAACUGCAUUCAAAACUGACUGACUAGAGUAUGGUAGAGGGUGGUGGAAUUUCCUGUGUAGCGGUGAAAUGCGUAGAUAUAGGAAGGAACACCAGUGGCGAAGGCGACCACCUGACUAAUACUGACACUGAGGKCGAAGC